This 1343-nucleotide ribosomal RNA is filed under the name uncultured bacterium. Its description in RNAcentral is "16S ribosomal RNA". It matches the Rfam family "Bacterial small subunit ribosomal RNA", at positions 28 to 1378 of the family's 1533-position model. The record is from RNAcentral.
GACGAACGCUGUCGGCGUGCUUAACACAUGCAAGUCGAACGGAAAGGCCCUGCUUUUGUGGGGUGCUCGAGUGGCGAACGGGUGAGUAACACGUGAGUAACCUGCCCUUGACUUUGGGAUAACUUCAGGGAACUGGGGCUAAUACCGGAUAGGAGCUCCUGCUGCAUGGUGGGGGUUGGAAAGUUUCGGCGGUUGGGGAUGGACUCGCGGCUUAUCAGCUUGUUGGUGGGGUAGUGGCUUACCAAGGCUUUGACGGGUAGCCGGCCUGAGAGGGUGACCGGCCACAUUGGGACUGAGAUACGGCCCAGACUCCUACGGGAGGCAGCAGUGGGGAAUAUUGCACAAUGGGCGGAAGCCUGAUGCAGCAACGCCGCGUGCGGGAUGACGGCCUUCGGGUUGUAAACCGCUUUCGCCUGUGACGAAGCGUGAGUGACGGUAAUGGGUAAAGAAGCACCGGCUAACUACGUGCCAGCAGCCGCGGUGAUACGUAGGGUGCGAGCGUUGUCCGGAUUUAUUGGGCGUAAAGGGCUCGUAGGUGGUUGAUCGCGUCGGAAGUGUAAUCUUGGGGCUUAACCCUGAGCGUGCUUUCGAUACGGGUUGACUUGAGGAAGGUAGGAGAGAAUGGAAUUCCUGGUGGAGCGGUGGAAUGCGCAGAUAUCAGGAGGAACACCAGUGGCGAAGGCGGUUCUCUGGGCCUUUCCUGACGCUGAGGAGCGAAAGCGUGGGGAGCGAACAGGCUUAGAUACCCUGGUAGUCCACGCUGUAAACGGUGGGUACUAGGUGUGGGGUCCAUUCCACGGGUUCCGUGCCGUAGCUAACGCUUUAAGUACCCCGCCUGGGGAGUACGGCCGCAAGGCUAAAACUCAAAGGAAUUGACGGGGCCCCGCACAAGCGGCGGAGCAUGCGGAUUAAUUCGAUGCAACGCGUAGAACCUUACCUGGGUUUGACAUGGAUCGGGAGUGCUCAGAGAUGGGUGUGCCUCUUUUGGGGUCGGUUCACAGGUGGUGCAUGGCUGUCGUCAGCUCGUGUCGUGAGAUGUUGGGUUAAGUCCCGCAACGAGCGCAACCCUUGUUCACUGUUGCCAGCACGUUAUGGUGGGGACUCAGUGGAGACCGCCGGGGUCAACUCGGAGGAAGGUGGGGAUGACGUCAAGUCAUCAUGCCCCUUAUGUCCAGGGCUUCACGCAUGCUACAAUGGCUGGUACAGAGAGUGGCGAGCCUGUGAGGGUGAGCGAAUCUCGGAAAGCCGGUCUCAGUUCGGAUUGGGGUCUGCAACUCGACCUCAUGAAGUCGGAGUCGCUAGUAAUCGCAGAUCAGCAACGCUGCGGUGAAUACGUUCCCGGG